GUAUAUUUUAAGUACCUUCCCAAACAGUAAUAUCAUUGUGCUUAGAUGAAAGUAUCAUACCUGAUUUUUAAAUAAAAUCCAAUCUGUAGGACAUCCUCCAGGAGCUGAAGGAAAACUAAUCCAUGAAGGAUUGUUGGAAUGAUCAGUCUAACCUGGACCAGUCUAAGCCUUUCUUUGAAAAGCUGUUUUGGAGAGCGACAUGACCAUCAGCCAUCUUCUGUGACUUCAUAUGCUGGAACACAGAAGAGAAAUCUCUACAUUCGUCUCAGUUCUUACACAAAGCUGGUGGUGUUACAUCGCAUCACCCUUUAGUCCUCUCUUCCUCCCUCAGACAGAAUUUCUGUUUUGGCAAAAAUUUGCUUUUGUACAGAGCAGUGAAUAUUGCAAGUAUGUUACUUGUAGAGCUUCCUGUUAUGAUGGAAUGGAUUCAGCUUGAAUUUCUUCCUAAGGAGGAAAAACUGUACUCUGUAAGGAAUGAGAAGUAAAGCAAACGUUUCCAAACACUCCUUUUCCUCCUUCUCUGUCUGUGAAGCCAAUGUGAGCUACUAAAGUAAUUACAAACACUGCAAGAGGAAAGCUCUGAGUUUAUGCAGCAUCUAACAGACUGUAGAAGUCCCAUAAAAACUGGAAUCAAAUGACAUUAUAAAUAAAACAGGAAAAAGGAACAUGGCAAUUUAUCACCAGAAACCAACUAUAGUCAGGAGAGACCUUUCUCAUAUAUGUGUGACUUGGAUAAUAUCUGUAGCUGAAAGUAGUCCUUUGUCUUAUCACUUUUGUGAUGGUAUAACCUCAGGUUUUAUUUUGUUUUUUUUCCAAUCUGGUAUGAAGAAUAAUGAUUCAGAGUUACCCAUUUGCAAAAUAGACAUUUUUGGAAAUUCUUAUACACUUUUU
Long non-coding RNA from Vidua chalybeata, 891 nucleotides. RefSeq lists it as uncharacterized. Lineage: Eukaryota; Metazoa; Chordata; Aves; Passeriformes; Viduidae. The transcript is spliced from 6 exons. The record is from RefSeq and is a predicted model, not a curated record.